CCUGGUUUGCCUUCCUUGCUGGCGUCCUUGUCAUCUCCAACCCGCCCACGGGGUGCUCAAGGGGUUCGGCCAAGUCGGAUGCCAGGCGGUGCGUGCAGCUGAGGAGCACUGGCAGCAGGCGCUUGAUGCGGCGCUCCCCGCGUCGCCGCUGCUCAUUCGCGGCUCCUCCUCCUCCCCAACGGAUCGCGACUGAACCUUCCUUGUGCCAGCACCUCGUGGCCAUGAAGGGUGGCUGAGCCAUCAGGAGCGGCGGCGGCGGCCUGCUGCGGAUGCUGCUGCGGCUCCCUCCUCUUCCUCGUCGGCUUCUACCUGCUUUGUGCCGACGCCAUGUACAUCGUGUCAUCCCGGUGCUUCUGCUUUCCCGGGUCGCAACUCUUUGGUGUGCUCGACA
This 391-nucleotide ribosomal RNA is filed under the name Triticum aestivum (bread wheat). RNAcentral's name for it is "partial small subunit ribosomal RNA". Lineage: Eukaryota; Viridiplantae; Streptophyta; Magnoliopsida; Poales; Poaceae. The record is from RNAcentral.